UCAGUCUCUCUUUCGAGUUCAACUCUCCACUACUAAAGAAAACACACACAUGUAUAACUGACUGACAACACACGUCUGAGUCACACAGAGACCUACAGCUUAUGUGGAAAGACGGCUGGGCGGAGAGAGGCUGCAAGUUCUGAAGAAUUUAAUCAUUUCUUUAAAAUUCCCAGAUGUUUGUGACACUCCUAUAAUUGCCAUUUCCCAGAUCAUGUGCAAGGCUGAUGUGAUCUAGACUGAAGACCAAGGAAACACAGCUGACUGGAAAAUAAGAAACUUCAAGCAUGUGCCUGAACAGUGCUGAAAAGAAGAAGUAGCAGGAGUUUCAAAUGGAGUUUUUACGUCAGUACUUCUGGCUAGCAUUAGUUCUGGCCAUCAUUCUGGUGUCUCUGGUGAUAGUAAUGAUUUUCAUAAUCAUCAAUGUUUGCAUCAAUAAAAGAGCUGCUUGGUACAGUACACAAGCAAGCCCAAACCAUUAUAAUGACACACAUUUUAAAAAGCAGAACAACCAAGUUAAUCACAAAGACCAUGAGACUGAGAAACCACCCUUACCUCCCAGGGAUCAGUUCAAAUCCAUGCAUUCUGUGGAUCGGAGUUAUGAGGAUUUGGAGCCCGCGUCAGACUAUGUGGAGGUUGAGGAUGAGUCAAAUCCCCCUGCGCCCCAACAACCCACCUUCACGCCACACUACGCCACCGUCGAGACUAAAAGUCAAGACCAAGACGCUGUCUCUGAGGAUUAUGAUGAUGUUGAAAUCCCUGCUAACGAUGACUGCGAGGAUUAUGAUGACAUAGGAUAAAACACAGGAAAACCAUUACUUUCCCUUCACAUGAGCAGACCCAGAAAUCAACUAUAUGUUUCCUACAAACUACUAUUGUACAUUAUUUGAGCAGAAACAAGUUCUAAUAGCAUGUAAACGAUUACAAGUGUGUUUACUUUCAUAUAAACCAAUCUUUCACUUCCCAUUGUUAGAAAUGCAAUACAUCUUCCAAAAAUGUCAUUUGAUUUGUCAUUUUCUGUUGAAGCACCACAAGACUUUUGUGUGGAAGUGAUUAUGCAAGUUCAAAGGAUGUUGAGAAAUAUCUAAAUAUAUAUAUUACAUCGUAUACCUAUAAAUGACAUUUGCACUUGCAAAUUUCAUGUCUGAUACUACAGUAUACCUUAUUUUUUAUUCCUGAGAAUCUAUAACAAAAAGCUUUUUGGAAAAGAAAAACAACACACAAACAAGCAGUACGCUGAAACUUUUUUCAUACAUUUAUUCUUUAAAAAAAAAAAAAAAAAAAAAAAAAACAAAAAUGGUGACUAUAAAAAGAUAUUUGUCUUUCACAGCUGCUCGAUUUGUAAUCGCUGUUGUUCAGGGCAGCAACAUAUCAAAAGUCAGUUCUUUUUUUAAACCCAUG
Molecule: long non-coding RNA, 1398 nt
Filed under: Sinocyclocheilus grahami
Lineage: Eukaryota; Metazoa; Chordata; Actinopteri; Cypriniformes; Cyprinidae
Description: lncRNA (ENSSGRG00000031125.1)
Source: RNAcentral